This 67-nucleotide transfer RNA is filed under the name Sphaerodactylus townsendi. RNAcentral's name for it is "tRNA-Ala". Lineage: Eukaryota; Metazoa; Chordata; Lepidosauria; Squamata; Sphaerodactylidae. The record is from RNAcentral.
GGGAUCAGUGGCAGAGAGCAUUUGCUUGGCAUGCCAAUGGCCACAGGUUCGAUCCCUGGCAUCUCCA